UUUUACGUGAACAACACCAGCGGCGUGCUGCUGACAUGAUAAUACAAUUUAAUAUUUAGAGGCGCUGCAGUUGCAACAGAGUGUGCUUUCUUGUUUUUAUUUCACAAUCGUAAAUGUUAAACAGCAACACUUGGCACAGCUAAAGACAAAAAAAAUGUUAUAAACAUGGCUGUCAUUACUGCACUUGUGUCUUCACAGGUUGAGAACAGUGUUUAAUGUAGAGACUCACCUCCAAGGCACACACGUCUAUUCAAUUGAAUAUGAGUGUGAACGACUCACGCUGUCGUCGUGGGGGUUCCAUGGACCACCAAGGAAGGACGUGCUUGUUCAGAAUCACUGUGGAGAGGCGGAGCCGACGGUCCGACAGAGAGGCAGGGCACGCCCAAGAUGGCGGCGAAGAGGCGGGGAUGGCGAACGAGCGGCGAGGCGGGGCGUGCCGGGAGCGACGCCACAAAUGAGAUCAGGUGUGUGGAUCACGCACCUGUACACAAUUAAUGUAUCUCCUCUCGCUGUAUAAAAUGGGAGAAGGAGAUGAGAACGAGGCUGGUUAUGGUACGAAGCGAGAGCAACCCAAACAACGGAGGAACGCGAGGGAGAGACGACAACACAAGCAGCAGCGCGUGCAACCCGGAAGAGAGCGACAGCGAGAGGGAGACGCAGACAACGGGGAAGGCUGAAAAGCAACACGCAAAACACUUUGCUUAUUGUAAAAUAAAGAAG
Molecule: long non-coding RNA, 720 nt
Organism: Nerophis ophidion (straightnose pipefish)
Lineage: Eukaryota; Metazoa; Chordata; Actinopteri; Syngnathiformes; Syngnathidae
Exons: 3
Source: RefSeq, a predicted model, not a curated record